GAGGAGAAGUCCUGUUAUCGUCGGACCCGCUAUGUCUGCAUAAAGCCGAAGACUCUCCACACGAAUAUACUUUCUUCCUCUCUUCUCUUCUUUCUUUCUUUCCCUUUUUCUUUUUCCUCUUAUAAAAUUCUCUUAAUUUUACUUCCUACUCCUUCCUUCAUAGAUAGAUCCUAAGUAUCUCUGCUUUUCUCUUUCCCCUGUUCUGUGAUCAAUCAUCAUGGAGUUUUUACUAGAGUUGCUUCUCACGGCGGUUGUUGCGCUUCUGUUUUCUUUCCUUGUCGCCAAGAUCGUAUCUAUUUCUAUGGCCGGGGAAAACGAUCGGAUGGAGAAAACAGAGAUCGGUGAUGGUUCUGCUACGGUGGAGGAGUUUCGUCUUAAUUUGAAAAUGGAUGCUCCAGUAGCUGCGCAGAGCGAGAGGAAACUUCGAGUUGCUGUUGAUGAGAAUGCAGAACAUGUGGAUGAUCGGUUUGGAAGCCAAGAAGCUGAUCGUGUUGUUGAGGAAGCUGCUAGAGACGUUGAGUUGGUGGUUCCAACUCCAGAAGCUGAUGAGUUAUUAUUGGCUGCUGUCUCGCAGGAAAAUGUGAUAGCCAAGGAGAUGAUAGUUCGUGGAGAAGACCAAGGGAGAGACACGGUAGAAGAGUUGACUGUUAGUACGGUGGAAGUUGAUGAGUCCACAGCUUGUGUUUUUCAAGAAAACGUGAUAGCAGAGGAGACUAUCAAUCGAGGACAAGAGGAGGAAGUUUCAUCGACAGAAGGAAUAAGUUCUUGUGUAGAAAGACGAGAAGUCGUAGUAGUCACGGAGUCUGAGGAGGUUAUGGUUGAAGAAUGCAACAAUGUGGAAGAGGAUAAGAUGGAGUUGAAUACUGAAGAGCAAGAGGAGGAGUUGAGUAUCGAAGAAGAUGAUGAUGACUGGGAGGGAAUUGAGAGGAGUGAACUUGAGAAAGCCUUUGUGGCUGCUUCAAAUCUUCUGGAAGAAUCAGAGAAAGGUGAACAAAUUGGUGCUGAGGUUAAGAUGGAGUUGUAUGGCCUUCACAAGAUCGCCACUGAAGGGUCAUGCCGAGAGACACAGCCUAUGGCCCUCAUGCUCUCUUCUCGUGCUAAAUGGAAUGCCUGGCAAAAACUUGGAAACAUGAGUCAGGAGGACGCAAUGGAGCAGUAUCUUCAACUUAUUUCAAAGGAAAUUCCUGGUUUGGUGAAUACUGAUCAUCAUACUGGAAGAUUUUAGAAACGGAAACCUCUGUUGUCCUACCUCCAAAUUCAGGGUCAUUAGAAGAUCCGACCAACUUAGACACAACUAGUGUUGCAUCCAGCAAAACUGGAAAAUACUUUCAUGACAAAUAUGAAUCCCGUUUUUAAGCAGGCAAUGCUUGAAGAAAGAAUCCUUGGGAGAACAAAGGCAAAAACUAUUCUUUUUCAUUAAAAAGUAUGUUACUCAAAAAAGAUAAUCAUGAAUGCAGUAAAUAAACCAUUUGGUGAAACUUGGUUGUAUAGUGUUCUACAUAAUUGUUAUCCUCACCCAAUGGUUGCAGCAAACAAAAACAACAUAAAUAUAUGUGUGUGUGUGUGUGUGUGUGUUUGUGUGUGUGGAUUGGCUAAUUUAAUGGUGUAGAUAUACCCUCCUAAUCGUCUGCCUUUGGUUUGA
RNA transcript from Raphanus sativus (radish), 1642 nucleotides. It is a transcript of the gene named acyl-CoA-binding domain-containing protein 3, with no coding region annotated. The transcript is spliced from 4 exons. NCBI's taxonomy places the organism in Eukaryota, Viridiplantae, Streptophyta, Magnoliopsida, Brassicales, Brassicaceae. The record is from RefSeq and is a predicted model, not a curated record.